GUCGGGAAUGGCUGCGCGGGGCCGGAUGGAGGACAAACCCGCCCUGGAGACAACGGGGCGGUGAUGACUUGAACGCCAGCGUGAUAGGCGUGAAAGGAGUUUUAAGCCGCCCUACCUGGUGGAUCCAAGCCAGAUUGCUGACAAAACAAAGGCCCGGUGUACAGUCUGCGUAGUACCGAGCGAAACCUUGGCCCAAGUAUAUUAAAACAUUUUUAGAGGAAACAUGGCAUUGUACCCAGCAUUAACUGGUUGCCUCAUUGACAGGGUUCCUUGGAUCUCACCCAGAGUAUUGAAGAUGACCCCCUUCUGGAUACCCACCAUCUCCCACAUCAUUCAUUACAUGCUCAUUUUAGACCCAGAUUCCAUCCUCUUCCUACGGUCAUCAUAGCAAAUCUUCUCUUAUUAAUACAUGUUGUAUUUGUCAUUUUAGCAUUUUUAACAGGUAUACUUUGUUCUUACCCUAAUCCAAUUGAGGACAAGUGCCCAGGAAACUAUACCAACCCACUGAAAGUUCAGACAGUCAUAAUCCUUGGGAAGGUUAUCUUGUGGAUCCUGCAUUUCCUUCUUGAGCGCUACAUCCAGUAUCACCACAACAAAGUGAGAAACCGGGCUACACCAUGAUCUACCU
Canis lupus familiaris (dog) is the source of this 628-nucleotide long non-coding RNA. RefSeq lists it as uncharacterized. The record is from RefSeq and is a predicted model, not a curated record. The transcript has 4 exons. Lineage: Eukaryota; Metazoa; Chordata; Mammalia; Carnivora; Canidae.